Molecule: non-coding RNA, 1184 nt
Organism: Paramuricea clavata
Lineage: Eukaryota; Metazoa; Cnidaria; Anthozoa; Malacalcyonacea; Plexauridae
Source: the annotation of a GenBank genome assembly
UGAUUUCACGAGCGGGCACAGAGAAAAUAAAAAAGGUAGUGGUGUAGGUAUAUAUAUUGCUGAAAGGUUGAAAUACAAACUACGUAAAGAUCUAAAUAUUAACAUAUACGAAACAAUUGAAUCCACUUUUAUAGAGGUAGCCACUGAAAAUGGGAAAAAUAUUAUAGUCGGGGUAAUUUACCGGCCACCAAAUAUUAAAAUUGAAACAUUUGAAAACGCCAUGAACCAAAUUUUGAGCAAGUUAGACAAAGAGAAUAAGAUCUGCUAUCUUAUGGGAGACUUUAAUAUCGAUUUGCUUAAAUCAGAAUCUUGUGAUUUUGCCAAUAAUUUCACCGAGCAACUUUUUACAUCUUCUUUUUACCCACUUAUAGCAAUAUUUUCACGAACAAGAUUGAUAAGAUUACCUCAAGUAUAAUUGGAUUAUUUUAGUGACAUUACAGAUCAUCUACCAAUAGUUCAUACAUGUUGUUUGGAUACACUAAAACCUAGCAAAAAAUACAGAAGAAAAAUACUAUACAAAAAAAUAUAUAUAAUAAAAAUAGCUUAAAUUUAUUUUCAGAUGAAAUUGAACAUUUAUCUUGGGAAGGCACGAUUUCUUCUAAUAACCCAUGUGAGUCCUUUAAUCAGUUUUCAAUGUUAUUCACGAGUAGGUAUGAAAAAAAAAUUCCGAUAAAAAGAGCAAAAGUAAAAAUGAACAUUAAUAAACAUAGAAGUCCACGGAUGACAAAAUGUGUUUUAAAAUAAAUCAAAAAGAAAAAUAAACUACACAAAAAACACUUAUCCGAUUCAAGUAAAAUAAAUGAGAAUGUAUACAAAAAAUAUAAAAAAACUAAAUCAUGUAAUUAGAUUAUCCAAAAAAAUUAUUAUGAACAAGAAUUAAUUAAAAGCACAGUUCAGCCUUUUGAACGAUGGUUUUUAAGGCGCAUUUCAGCCCUUUUAAUUGAAAACACUAACUAGGAAUUUAAAAUGUUAAAAACAUUGAAAUUGGUGAUCUUGAAUUAUGCUUAAUUGAUUUUCCUACAAUCACUUUCAGAAGUUGUUGGGACACAUGUAGUCUUAGAUUGUAUAAGUGGAUCAUUACAGUUUUUUACACACAAUACCGCUCCCCUCCCCUCCCCUCCCCCUCCCCCUCCCCCCACCCCAAUCAAUGUUGCUCCAACUAAAACACAUCAAACCUUACUGAA